This 301-nucleotide ribosomal RNA is filed under the name uncultured Haloterrigena sp. Its description in RNAcentral is "partial 16S ribosomal RNA". It matches the Rfam family "Bacterial small subunit ribosomal RNA", at positions 493 to 795 of the family's 1533-position model. Lineage: Archaea; Methanobacteriati; Methanobacteriota; Halobacteria; Halobacteriales; Natrialbaceae. The record is from RNAcentral.
CCGGAUACUCGUGCUGCCGGCGGGGGUAAUGCGGGGGGGGGGGGCGUUGUCCGGGAGUGCUGGGCGUAAAGGGCGCGUAGGUGGCGCUCCAAGUCUGUGUUGAAAGCUCGAUGCGUAACGUCGAGUCGGCCACGGAGACUGGAGGGCUCGAGCACUGUAGGGGCAGAUGGAAGUCCGGGUGUAGCGGUGGAAUGCGUAGAGAUCCGGAAGAACACCGGUGGCGAAGGCGGUCUGCUGGGCAGUAGCUGACACUGAGGCGCGACAGCGUGGGGAGCAAACAGGAUUAGAUACUCCAGUAGUC